GGAGGUAGUGACAAUAAAUCACAAUGCGGAACUAUUAGUUUUGCAAUUGGAUUGAGAACAACGUACAAACCUUAUCGAUAAACAAUUGGAGGGCAAGUCUGGUGCCAGCAGCCGCGGUAAUUCCAGCUCCAAUAGCGUAUAUUAACGUUGUUGCAGUUAAAAAGCUCGUAGUUGAAGUGAAGUGAACAAAGAAGAGAAGAAUCUUCGGAUUCGGAUCUAAUGCGUUGACUCUUUCCAAAGUCAAUGUAUGGGUAUUCAUUUAUCUAUAUAUUGUGUUUGGUCGUUUACUGUGAGAAAAUUAGAGUGUUCAAAGCAGACGUUUGUUUGAAUACAUUAGCAUGGAAUAAUCAGAUAAGGCUUUCAUGUGUAUUUGAUUGGUUUGGAUAUGAAAGCAAGGUUAAUAGGGACAGUUGGGGGUAUUCAUAUUCAAUAGUCAGAGGUGAAAUUCUCGGAUUUAUGGAAGAUGAACAAGUGCGAAAGCAA
RNAcentral lists this ribosomal RNA (483 nucleotides) under Blastocystis sp. RNAcentral describes it as "SSU rRNA". It matches the Rfam family "Eukaryotic small subunit ribosomal RNA", at positions 460 to 954 of the family's 1831-position model. The record is from RNAcentral. Lineage: Eukaryota; Bigyra; Opalinata; Blastocystidae.